UACAGAGGUCCCAAGCGUUGUUCGGAUUCACUGGGCGUAAAGGGUGCGCAGGUGGGUUGGCAAGUUCGAUGUGAAAGCCCCGGGCUUAACCCGGGAAUGGCAUUGGAAACUGCUGAUCUGGAGGGUCGGAGGGGGGACUGGAAUUCUUGGUGUAGCAGUGAAAUGCGUAGAUAUCAAGAGGAACACCAGUGGCGAAGGCGAGUCCCUGGACGAUACCUGACACUGAGGCACGAAAGCCAAGGGAGCAAACAGG
Molecule: ribosomal RNA, 253 nt
Filed under: uncultured bacterium
Lineage: Bacteria
Description: partial 16S ribosomal RNA
Rfam family: Bacterial small subunit ribosomal RNA
Source: RNAcentral